GAUCACGACGCCUACGGAUUUUUCACCGACCGAGAACCAACUCCUUCCCAAUUUAAAAUGGCUCUCCCGGCAUUAUUUUCCUCGACGGAUACUCAAGUUAAGCAAUUUCUCGUUGACAAAUUUGGUCGUUCUUGAUUUUUCAAGGAGUACAAUUACCCACGAUUGGGACGGAUGGAGACAUAUUAAGAGAGCUAAGAAAUUGAAAGUUCUUGACCUUUCAAGGUGUGGGCACUUGACCAAGACUCCUAAUUUCUCUGGACUCCCGAUGUUGGAGAGAUUAAUUCUCGAAAGUUGU
Long non-coding RNA from Rhodamnia argentea, 295 nucleotides. RefSeq lists it as uncharacterized. The transcript has 2 exons. The record is from RefSeq and is a predicted model, not a curated record. NCBI's taxonomy places the organism in Eukaryota, Viridiplantae, Streptophyta, Magnoliopsida, Myrtales, Myrtaceae.